This 253-nucleotide ribosomal RNA is filed under the name uncultured bacterium. RNAcentral describes it as "partial 16S ribosomal RNA". It matches the Rfam family "Bacterial small subunit ribosomal RNA", at positions 524 to 776 of the family's 1533-position model. The record is from RNAcentral.
CACGUAGGGUGCAAGCGUUGUCCGGAAUUAUUGGGCGUAAAGAGCUCGUAGGCGGUUUGUCGCGUCGAAUGUGAAAACCCGGGGCUCAACCCCGGGCCUGCAUUCGAUACGGGCAGACUAGAGUUCGGUAGGGGAGUCUGGAAUUCCUGGUGUAGCGGUGAAAUGCGCAGAUAUCAGGAGGAACACCGAUUGCGAAGGCAGCUCGCUGGGACGUUACUGACGCUGAGACGCGAAAGCGUGGGGAGCAAACAGG